GGCAAUUGCCACGGAGGGCUCUGUAGAGCCGGGUCCAGCUGCGGAGUUGGCCUGAGAGAGGGGGCACGCUGCCAGGGCCACCGCAAAUCCCGGGAGAGGCCCGGGGUGGCUGACGCUGUCCGGGGGCGUUCCUGGGAGCUAGUGGCCGAGGAGGUCAGACCCGAAGACCCGGGAGGAGCCGGCCGGCUGCCACGUGACCAACUGCGGCGGGGCGGGCGGCCCAGAAAUAGCAGCGGCGGCGGUUCCGCCCGCGGGCGCCGCGAGGAAAGGCGGAGACUGGAGGACUCUGGCUCCGCGCGGACGCGGCGCGGCGCGGCCCCGGCCCCGGAGGAUGCUGAGCCCCUACCCGGACCGACCCCGAGCACAUGAUGGCGAUACGGGAGCUCAAAGUGUGUCUUCUCGGGGUUGGCCGUGGCUGACAGGCUCUUGUUCCCUAAUGAAGUGUCAGUGUUGGCAGGAGUCUGGGAAAGGAAGGCUGCGUUCCAGUGAUCAUUGGUCCCUGGGCACCACCAGGUGGAAUGUGGAGGACACUGGGGUUGGGAAAUCAAGCAUUGUGUGUCGAUUUGUCCAGGAUCACUUUGACCACAACAUCAGCCCGACCAUUGGGGCAUCUUUUAUGACCAAAACUGUGCCUUGUGGAAAUGAACUUCAUAAGUUUCUCAUCUGGGACACUGCUGGUCAGGAACGGUUUCAUUCACUGGCUCCUAUGUACUAUCGUGGAUCCGCUGCAGCUGUCAUAGUGUAUGAUAUUACCAAACAGGACUCAUUCCAUACUUUGAAGAAAUGGGUGAAAGAGCUGAAAGAACAUGGUCCAGAAAACAUUGUAAUGGCUAUUGCUGGGAACAAGUGUGAUCUCUCAGAUAUAAGGGAGGUUCCCUUGAAGGAUGCGAAGGAAUAUGCUGAAUCCAUAGGUGCCAUCGUGGUUGAAACAAGUGCAAAAAAUGCUAUUAAUAUCGAAGAGCUCUUUCAAGGAAUCAGUCGUCAGAUCCCACCCUUGGACCCCCAUGAAAAUGGUAACAAUGGAGCAAUCAAACUUGGGAAGCAAACCACGCAAGCCAGCCGUCGGUGCUGCUGACCGGGGCCACAACCCACUGUACUUGAAGAAGCCAGAGCCACCUCCCCAUGCACUGCUGAAGGACCCCCGUUCUCGGUGGCCCGGCACCUCAAUUAGAGAGAAGUGAGCACUCUGGCUUGGCAUCCUGGAAGACCUGCAGGGAAUGAGACAGGAAAUGUCCUUGGAAAAGGAUUUGAGGAAACUCUGGAAAAAUCCACCACAUCGCCUUUCAUGCAUGAAAUGCACACGGGAGGGAAUGGAGUUAGGUUACAGGAAAGCCAGCCAAGGAAAGUACCAGCACCUUAAGAUUCUAGACCCCCAACUGCAAAAUUGGAGAAAGGAUGUGAGAAGAUGCCAAACCUGGGGAGGUAGGUAUUAGGGCUAAUAACGGGUCUAACUCUGGAAUGCCAAUUAACUGACAAUAGGCUUUAAGAAAACCUUCCUUUUCAAGUUCCCUGUCUGCUCAGUUAAUAAAGAUAUAAGAAUCCAAAGGCAGUAAAGGGAGAAAAGGCAUGGAGAGGAAGAAAAGCUAUUUCCAUUCUGAAUUCAAAUCCUAUUACUAUUCUAACUUCCAUAAAAACUUGAUAUCAAGAAGCAGUGGUUUUCCUAUUAUGGCUUAUGCUGGGAGGUGAUUCUUAAAGGAAAUUCUGACCCGUGCCUUUUGUUGUGGCUAAGAAACUAUAAAGAAUGGUCUCAGAAAUGGUUAAUCAUGCAGCGUGGUCCAGCCAGUACCUUCUGUGCUACGAACAUUAAAGAGCUUGCAAACAUUUAUUGAAAACCUACAAUGUAAAAGCCAGGAGAGAGACCGUGAGCUGAUUACAGACCUCAAACUUGGAGUACUCAGUGCGAGUUGGCGCUUCACAGUCUUGUCAGGGCUGUGCCCUCUGUGCUCUUGACACAUAGACACUGAGUCCUGCCAUUGAUAAAAAGGAAGAGUCCUUGGGAGACCAAGGCCAAGUUUAUAGUUCUUUAUGUGGACAGUAAUCAAGAAAACAAGCGGAAAUCACAGAUUAAGGUUUUUUUAACUUAAGACUAUGUUGUCAAUUUGAUGUUCUUACUGCUUCACCCAACUUGCAAGAGUAGUUUGACAAUCUUAGAAUGUGAAGGUUGGAAACAUUUAUUUUGGGUUCACGAGUGCCUCUGAGCAUUCCCAGACGGGUACCUCAAAAAAUGUUAGCAAGUGGCAUUUAGAUGUCUUGGCAGGGCCUUUGCAGGGGUUUUUAGGAUUUUCUCCAUAUUAUCAAUAUUACUUGCUAACAUGAUUCUGCUUGCAGGCCAAGCAAUUAUCAUAUCUCUUUCCAAAAUUCAAAAAUUUGGGAUGAAAAUUGAAAUGGCCUUCCCAGGUGACAUGCAAGCUUUUUUUGGAAACUUUCCUCAUCCACCUGUCCACGAGAACCUGGGUUCAUCUCUACACAGCCUUUCAGGUUGCCUAGCUAAGUUGGUAUGCAUCCCAGUGGAGUUACGCAGCUGUGGGCUGGGUCUCUGAUGGUUGCAUCCUGCAUAAAACGUCUGGUCUUAUCCACACGUAAGAGAUAACUACGAACAAACCCAUGGUUUUAUUUCAGAAAUACAUGAGGGUGUGAAGCCACUCUUUUCUCUUUCUGUACUGCCUUCCCUAUUCAAGCCAGUCAGCUGAGAACAUAUAUAAUAAUGAUUACUUGGAGCAAUGGGUGAAGAAAGUAGGUGGCACUUGGGCACACAAGCCUUCAUAUAAACAGUCUUUUCUGCAGGUAGAUGUUUGAGCCUUGUCCAGGCUUUCUUAUCUUCCUUUAUUCUGCCUUGAGAUUACUUUCUGGAUGUUCUAAUAAUUGAACUAUAACCAAGUAAUAGUAUGUAAAGGCCUGGAAAUUACUGUUGCUCCAAAAUGUCUAGUAGCUUCAUGUGAUGUAGAAUCGUCCACAUAAUUUCCCCAAAUUUGCUUUUUCUUCUCUGUUUUUUUUUUCUUCUUUCAUGUGCGGUAUGUUUAUAUGUGUAAAUAUGUUUUCAUAUUUGUUACGCCAACAUAUAAUCCAUUUCACUGGCUGAGUUUGGCUCAUGACUGUGUGUUAUAUAAUGUAGGCGUAAGUUGUCAUUGGGAUUAUUGCCCAGUGGAAAGCCAUAAGAUGGCAGUAGAAUUAUGCAGACUUUUUUUGUAGGUACAUAAUUGACUUGCCAUUUUAUAAUUGAAAAUGGUACACUAGGGUGCUGAAUAUGACGUUACCUUGUAGACUAUGAAAGGUUGAAGACUUAAAACUAUAACCUUUAGCCAACAAAAGGGCUGUGCCCCAAUCAGAAUUGAAUUCAUUUUCUGAGGGAGGUUUGGAUGACUGAAGUACUUCCUCUAAGAUCAAGGAAUAUGGCACGUGAUGCCUCAUUGAGGUCCUUGUAGGGACUCCACUUCUCAUGGCUUUGUAAUGCUCAUAGCAAGUUGAAUAAUGAGCUAGCUUAUAAAAGAAAAGUCUCUGAGCUGUAUUCAGACCUGUUUGUUAUCUAGUUUACUCUUUCAACCAUCAUCGUUGAAACCAGACCCAGUGAUCCAAUGUCAGUGCUCUGUUGUGUAAACCACUCCUUUUUUCUCGUGUUUUUAUAAAGGGCUUCUGUCUGGGCUGGACCCAGUUCUCGCAUAUAGAAGAUGCUGCUGCAGACAAUUAGGACCUUUCCACCUUGUAUUCUAUAGUAAAGCAUUGCCUCAACAUCGCCCAAUUGUAUCUGUUAUUUUUGGUUUAACACACAUUGAUUCAUACUAAUAAAUAUUUUAAGUUUUA
Rhinolophus ferrumequinum (greater horseshoe bat) is the source of this 3798-nucleotide RNA transcript. It is a transcript of the gene named RAB31, member RAS oncogene family, with no coding region annotated. The transcript has 9 exons. The record is from RefSeq and is a predicted model, not a curated record. NCBI's taxonomy places the organism in Eukaryota, Metazoa, Chordata, Mammalia, Chiroptera, Rhinolophidae.